CUUAACACAUGCAAGUCGAGGGGCAGCAUGGUCUUAGCUUGCUAAGGCCGAUGGCGACCGGCGCACGGGUGAGUAACACGUAUCCAACCUGCCGUCUACUCUUGGACAGCCUUCUGAAAGGAAGAUUAAUACAAGAUGGCAUCAUGAGUCCGCAUGUUCACAUGAUUAAAGGUAUUCCGGUAGACGAUGGGGAUGCGUUCCAUUAGAUAGUAGGCGGGGUAACGGCCCACCUAGUCUUCGAUGGAUAGGGGUUCUGAGAGGAAGGUCCCCCACAUUGGAACUGAGACACGGUCCAAACUCCUACGGGAGGCAGCAGUGAGGAAUAUUGGUCAAUGGGCGAGAGCCUGAACCAGCCAAGUAGCGUGAAGGAUGACUGCCCUAUGGGUUGUAAACUUCUUUUAUAAAGGAAUAAAGUCGGGUAUGCAUACCCGUUUGCAUGUACUUUAUGAAUAAGGAUCGGCUAACUCCGUGCCAGCAGCCGCGGUAAUACGGAGGAUCCGAGCGUUAUCCGGAUUUAUUGGGUUUAAAGGGAGCGUAGAUGGAUGUUUAAGUCAGUUGUGAAAGUUUGCGGCUCAACCGUAAAAUUGCAGUUGAUACUGGAUAUCUUGAGUGCAGUUGAGGCAGGCGGAAUUCGUGGUGUAGCGGUGAAAUGCUUAGAUAUCACGAAGAACUCCGAUUGCGAAGGCAGCCUGCUAAGCUGCAACUGACAUUGAGGCUCGAAAGUGUGGGUAUCAAACAGGAUUAGAUACCCUGGUAGUCCACACGGUAAACGAUGAAUACUCGCUGUUUGCGAUAUACAGCAAGCGGCCAAGCGAAAGCGUUAAGUAUUCCACCUGGGGAGUACGCCGGCAACGGUGAAACUCAAAGGAAUUGACGGGGGCCCGCACAAGCGGAGGAACAUGUGGUUUAAUUCGAUGAUACGCGAGGAACCUUACCCGGGCUUAAAUUGCAGAUGAAUUACGGUGAAAGCCGUAAGCCGCAAGGCAUCUGUGAAGGUGCUGCAUGGUUGUCGUCAGCUCGUGCCGUGAGGUGUCGGCUUAAGUGCCAUAACGAGCGCAACCCUUGUUGUCAGUUACUAACAGGUUCCGCUGAGGACUCUGACAAGACUGCCAUCGUAAGAUGUGAGGAAGGUGGGGAUGACGUCAAAUCAGCACGGCCCUUACGUCCGGGGCUACACACGUGUUACAAUGGGGGGUACAGAGGGCCGCUACCACGCGAGUGGAUGCCAAUCCCCAAAACCUCUCUCAGUUCGGACUGGAGUCUGCAACCCGACUCCACGAAGCUGGAUUCGCUAGUAAUCGCGCAUCAGCCACGGCGCGGUGAAUACGUUCCCGGGCCUUGUACACACCGCCCGUCAAGCCAUGGGAGCCGGGGGUACCUGAAGUGCGUAACCGCGAGGAGCGCCCUAGGGUAAAACUGGUGACUGGGGCUAAGUC
RNAcentral lists this ribosomal RNA (1436 nucleotides) under uncultured organism. RNAcentral's name for it is "16S ribosomal RNA". It matches the Rfam family "Bacterial small subunit ribosomal RNA". The record is from RNAcentral.